Patiria miniata (bat star) is the source of this 792-nucleotide long non-coding RNA. RefSeq lists it as uncharacterized. The transcript is spliced from 4 exons. The record is from RefSeq and is a predicted model, not a curated record. NCBI's taxonomy places the organism in Eukaryota, Metazoa, Echinodermata, Asteroidea, Valvatida, Asterinidae.
UUUAGCCAUCACGUGAUUCUCGUGUCUGCUCCGGUGUCAUACACCAUUACCCGAGCUGGCGAGCGGGUCUCUGGUGGAAGUCCCGGUGUAAUGACGUAACGGGCUAGCCCGACUUCGCAAAAAGUAAACAUGGCGGGCAGAAUUCGCCGCGACAUUCAGUGUGCGAAACUUGUUUUAUGAAACAUCAUGAAGAGCUGCUUCAUGAUAACAAACCACGUCGUCUGCUACCACACAUGAAUGAUGGGAUGGUGAAGCAUGACAACUGAUCAAAAUAAUGGCAAGAUUUCAAGAGACAUCUCAUCUAUUGGAGGUGUUCAAGGAAACGAAGCCCUCACCGGUGAAAAAGAAAGCGGUCAAGAGUCAAAAGAGGUCCAGCCCCCCCCCCCCCUCCCCGCCCUGCUUUUCGAAUUUGCAGCACCUGCAGUGGCCUGAAAUUUAGGGGAAAAAUGUUCUUGGGUCCACCCUUGGUGUCCCCUUAAAACAAGAUGGUGCCUUCCCCUGCCCUCCAACCCCAACUUACUGAACAAAUCCUGGCUCAGGCUAGCCACGGCAUUUGAAGUUGCUGUGUGAGUUGCCUUUUCUUGUGCAGGCCUGGAUGAAAUUCCUAUAUGAUCUUUUCAAGCUUUUGGGUUUAUCCUCACACGUACUUUGCUGCCGGAAUGCCUAUUUCUUUAAAAAAAAUUUACUCACAGGUUUCUUGAACUUUGACUCUUUCAGUUUACAAUUGAGAGAUUGCAUCGACUAAAAUUCAUUUUCAUGCACUAAAAACAACUAACUGGACACAUUUCAUUA